This 259-nucleotide ribosomal RNA is filed under the name Salmonella enterica. Its description in RNAcentral is "partial 23S ribosomal RNA". It matches the Rfam family "Bacterial large subunit ribosomal RNA", at positions 1241 to 1503 of the family's 2925-position model. The record is from RNAcentral. RNAcentral also lists the same sequence under 2 other names. Lineage: Bacteria; Pseudomonadati; Pseudomonadota; Gammaproteobacteria; Enterobacterales; Enterobacteriaceae.
CUGUAAGCCUGUGAAGGUGGCCUGUGAGGGUUGCUGGAGGUAUCAGAAGUGCGAAUGCUGACAUAAGUAACGAUAAAGCGGGUGAAAAGCCCGCUCGCCGGAAGACCAAGGGUUCCUGUCCAACGUUAAUCGGGGCAGGGUGAGUCGACCCCUAAGGCGAGGCCGAAAGGCGUAGUCGAUGGGAAACGGGUUAAUAUUCCCGUACUUGGUGUUACUGCGAAGGGGGGACGGAGAAGGCUAUGUUGGCCGGGCGACGGUU